CGGUGUCAUUAGCUAUUCGCAAUGAAGCUACUGAGUUUAACUGCAUGUUCCCUUGAUCCCUAGCCAUUUGAAAUCUUGCUGUGUAUAUUGGCUACAGUAAGUUCAGAUUUGCUGUUAGGAGUAGGAUAUAUCUAGAUAGAAUCUAUCGACCUUAGUAGAAAGGGAGAAGUCUCAUGCGAUUUAUGAGACUGAAUUCAGAAAGUCUUGGG
RNAcentral lists this long non-coding RNA (209 nucleotides) under Elaeis guineensis (African oil palm). RNAcentral describes it as "long non-coding RNA (EGUI_LNC040432)". The record is from RNAcentral. Lineage: Eukaryota; Viridiplantae; Streptophyta; Magnoliopsida; Arecales; Arecaceae.